Molecule: ribosomal RNA, 470 nt
Filed under: uncultured bacterium
Lineage: Bacteria
Description: bacterial SSU rRNA
Rfam family: Bacterial small subunit ribosomal RNA
Source: RNAcentral
GAUGAACGCUAGCUACAGGCUUAACACAUGCAAGUUGCGGGGCAGCAUGUCGGUUGCUUGCAACCGAUGAUGGCGACCGGCGCACGGGUGAGUAACGCGUAUCCAACCUACCCUUCACCACGGAAUAAUCCAGUGAAAAUUGGUCUAAUACCGUAUGAGGUCAUACGAUGGCAUCAGAAUAUGACGAAAGGUUUAGCGGUGAAGGAUGGGGAUGCGUCUGAUUAGCUUGUUGGUGGGGUAACGGCCUACCAAGGCGACGAUCAGUAGCCGACCUGAGAGGGUGACCGGCCACAUUGGGACUGAGACACGGCCCAAACUCCUACGGGAGGCAGCAGUGGGGAAUAUUGCACAAUGGGGGAAACCCUGAUGCAGCAACGCCGCGUGAUUGAAGAAGUAUUUCGGUAUGUAAAGAUCUAUCAGCAAGGAAGAAAAUGACGGUACUUGACUAAGAAGCCCCGGNUAACUACGUG